This 5832-nucleotide long non-coding RNA is filed under the name Daucus carota (carrot). Its description in RNAcentral is "long non-coding RNA (DCAR_LNC001938)". Lineage: Eukaryota; Viridiplantae; Streptophyta; Magnoliopsida; Apiales; Apiaceae. The record is from RNAcentral.
AGAGAAACAGCGAGGGAAAAAGAAAAUAGCUACUAAAUAAGGAUUAUUACAGUUGCUAUAAUUUAUUCUCUAAAUCUUUGCUAAUAACCAUGUUAAUUCAUCAAUUCAUAACAGUAAGAGCUGCAAUCUUUAUAUGGAGAUUCAUAAAAUCUUCUCACCUUAUUUGUUGUGCUCUGACAAAAUUGCACUUGAUAUCUGGAGAUUUAGUCCCCCUUAAGUUUUGUUUUAACAAUUUUAAUCCUGGAGCAUGAUCAAGAAACGAAAUUGUUCCCCUUGCAUACGUUUAGUGCAUUCUCCUAAAAAAAAAACCAAUCCUCGGUUGAACUAGACAAGUGCAUAUCUACAGUAUCUAAAUUAUCUGUUAAUUCACAGGAGGUGCAGAAGUAAAUCUUGAACAGAACUUGUGUCAUCAGACAUAAUCUAUAAUGGAACUAUAAAAGACACCUUUAGUAUAUGAUUAAGCUUGUUUCUAACAACAGAUGGUAGUAGGCACUAUAAAAGUUUGACAAAUUUUUAUUUUCAUUCUUGUGAUAAUUUCUAAAGACAAGAAUUGUGUACUUUAAGAAAUCAGUUUCUAAGAUGUUCUCAUUGCGCCCAUCUUGUGUGGUUUCAAGCUUUGCUUUACAGUUUACAAAUAUAGUUUUAUGAACUUGUGAGCAAUUUUGAAAGAAUUUCAGUUUAUUUUAUGAAGGACUAUAAUCCAAAGAUAUCGGACUUUGGCUUGGCAAAAUUGGGUCCCUCGGGUGGAGAUUCACAUGUCACAACUCGAAUCAUGGGAACAUAUGGUUAUGCUGCUCCUGAAUAUGUAGCAACAGGUGAGUACUAUAGUAGUCUCUCUGUAUUAACUGUUGGCAGAAUGCUGAAGCUCUAACCAAACGAAAAGAUGGGGAGAACGUGUGCAUUCUUUUGAUACAAUCAUUAGUUCACUAAUUCAUUAUACAAUGAUCAACAGGUCAUUUAUAUGUGAAAAGCGAUGUGUAUGGAUUUGGAGUUGUGCUUCUUGAGAUGUUGACAGGCUUACGAGUAGUUGACAUGAAACGUCCGAGCAGCCAGCAUAAUUUAAUAGACUGGGCGAAGCCCCGUCUCUUGCAUAAAAGGAAGCUGAAAACCAUGAUGGAUGCACGUAUACAAGGACAAUAUUCAACAAAAGCAGCAGUACAAGCUGCUCAGCUGACACUACAAUGCUUGGAAAUUGAACCCAGAAAUCGACCCUCCAUGAAAGAAGUUGUGGAGGUUUUGGAACAGGUAGAUUCAAUGACAGUAAGGCAAUAAGAGCACAAAAGCAGCUCUACUCAUUCUUCUACAGAUCAGAAUCGUUAUCAUCAUCGUCGGCCUGUUAUCAUCUGCCCAUAUCGACGAAGUGAUAAGAGCAGUUAAAUUCUUUUUAAUUGAGAGAACAUAUAGUUGGGUUAAAGCAUACCUCUUCUAGUUAUUUGUUGUAAUGUUACAUUAGUUAGUUUUAUCAUUCUUUGGUCCCCAGUUUGUAAUUGCAACUAUCAAGCUGUCAUUUUUAUACCACUAUUGUCAAUACUAUUUCUUGACUUGCAUAGCAGCAGUCUGAUGAGAAUGAAGUUGAUGACUUCGCAUUAACAAGGACAUUAGUUUUCAACAUACCAAGUUACUUGAAAAUUUGUCAUGACACUUCGGAGAAUUUCCAGUAGACCAUUGCAAAGAAGAUGACACAUUAAACCGCCUUCACUUAUCGCUGCAGAAGCGGUAUUUAUAGGUGUAGAGAGUAUAGCGUUAGCGUUAGAUUAUCCAAAACCCUACCAUCUAUGGCGGUAUUUAUAGGUAUUUAUAGGUGUAGAGAGUAUAGCGUUAGAUUAUCCAAAACCCUACCAUCUGUGGCGGUAUUUAUAGGUGUAGAGAGUAUAGCGGUAUUUAUAGGUGUAGAGAGAGGAGAGACUUGUGUGCUACUCUUUCACAUAAUUAAAUAAUCUGAAACAAAAUCAGAUUAAAACUUUCAAACUACUAUAUUCCAUAAAUAAUCUGAAACAAAAUCAGAUUGUGAAAUUUGCUUUUAAUAUACCUGAAACUAAAAAAGGUAGUUCUAAUUUUUGAUAAUUUUCAUCCAAAAAUUUCAGAAAAUUAGAAAAAUAGAACGGAGCGAUGUGAGAGUCGCCACCUACACACCCCUCGCUUCUCUUUUAUAUAAGUAUAUUGAUGAUUGAUGAUUGAUGAUUGAUAUUGAUAUAUUGAUGAUUGAUGUCGUUGUGUAAAUAAUUUUGAUAAACUCAGCACCCCAUUUUUUUAAAAAGGGGUCAAUUCAUUAUUUUACCAGGAUUUUUUUUUCAUUUUGAUUAGAUUUUUUUUCAUUAUUUUUCCUCAAACACCUAAGAAAGUAAGAAUACAAACCUAAUUAAACUACAACUCGGUGAUUGCAUCCCUUUCUCCACGCAACUACGUAACUCAACGUGUACAAAGCUUAUUAUAAAUUGUAGAGACGUGAAGAACAAUUCUAGCUAGCGUCGUGUUUAGUGAAUUAGUGUAUGAUGAUGCGAAUAAAAAUAUCGAAAGAGAGCAGCCAUAUCGCAGAUGUGCAUGAAUCCAUACUCAUCAAAAUCUUUAUAUUACUUCCCUUGCAAUGCAUAAUGAGGUGCAGAUGUGUCUGCAAAAGCUGGGCCACUUUAAUUUUUCAGCCCUAUUUUAUAGAACAUUACGAUUCAACUAAAUAUUCGUCUCUUAUUCAACUAUUGAUCGAGGAUAGAUCUUCGUUCUUGAAACCCAACAAUUUAUUCUUGGCACAACUUGAUGAAGCUGAAUGCACGGCCAAUUCUCCUGCGGAUUUUCUAAUUUUUAACAAAACACGAAUUUCUUUGAAAUUCUUAUAUGAUUUACCUGAUCCUUGCUCGUAUUUGCUCACAGUUUUUAGCACUUGUAGUGUUACAGGUUGUAUAGCUGCAUAUAGAUGUGGUAAGGAUUUUAUAUCAGUCAUAUCGGGUCACAUAUUUAACCCCGUAACAGGUCAGCACAUUCUUGUGGAUGAUACUGCGAGUAGGCAUCGCUGGUGGGCUUGUGCUUUACUCUAUGUUCCAAAAACUAAACAGUUCAAGUUGUUGUAUUUUCAUCCUUGGGGAUUUAAUAAGGAACAAGUCGAAGUUGAUAUACAAACAAUCGGGACAAAUUCGUGGAGGAGCAUGGGAAAAAUCCCCUUUUUUUACCCAGCACAACGCCAGCUUCCUACUUAUGUAAAUGGAUUAUACCAUUGGAUCGACUCUAGGAAACAUAUAUUAUAUUCCUUCAACGCAGAAGAAGAGGCAUUCAAGCAAAUUCAGACUCCCCCUCGUAUCAAGUCUUUUAUGAGUUCGAACCUUGGACUACUAAAUGGUUGUCUUUGCAUUUGUAUGAAGUCCUAUAUCAUUGAGUUGUGGGUGAUGAGUGAGUAUGGUGAUGAAAAAUCAUGGACUAAGAAGUUUGUUCUGCAUAAUCUUGCAAUUGUUCCAGACAAGAUAAUAGAGCCUGUGAAAUGUCUGGAAAAUGGAGAGAUUGUGAUACUGUGUUUUCCUCGUCAUGCCAUAUGUUACAAUCCAACUACAAAAAGUCGCAAAUAUAUCAGAUUUGGUGAUAAAGAGUGUAUCAGAUACGUACCUUUUUCAUAUAGUCUAAGCCUUAAAAAAUUGCUGCGCCUGCCAUAGUGUACUAAUGUUAGUCAAGCAUCGGUCUUGUGACCGGUGAAGUAUGCCUUUCGGUUAGUAUGAUGAGUUUUAGUAUAUCUUGAGAUGUAUUUCUGAUUUUAUAUCAAUAAAACGAUCCCUCGUUUUAGUCAGAAAAAAUAUAUAUAAUCUUCUCCUAUUACAAUGACAUGGUAAUUUAAUGUUAGUUAAAUUUUGUGAAUUCAAGCUUAGAUGUAUAUAUAUAUAUCAUUUCUUCCAAUUGUAGGAUUGAUAAGCUUCUGCAUAUUCAAAACACUUUCUUGAGAUGAACUGUUUUUUCUUGCAUUCCUAAUUGUGCAACACAUACCUGGCUUACAAGAUGUCAAGUUUAGCCAGACAUAUCUCAUACUUAUGAUAAUCUUUGCAAAAUUAGUGAUAACUUUUACUAGUUUAUUUAAAUGAGAGAAUGUUCUUUGAUCAAUUAAAUCUUACUUUAUUGCUCCAGGAAGUUGCAAACAAAUUUCUUCUUUUUUCCCUUUACAGUCUUUCAUUCAUACAGCAAAUUCAACUCCUUCAUAUCUCUCUCUCUCUGCCUUCUAUGCUAAAUUCAGCAAAGUAUUCUGUCAGAGAGAUUUUUUGAGAGAGACAGAGAGAGAUUGUUGAGAUGGGUAAUUGUUUGAUGAGCUCAAAAUCUCAUGGUGCUGCUGAAAAGUCUGUUUCCAACAUAUAUUCGAAUCAAAGUACCAAUCCAGAUACCACUAGACCUUCCACAUACACUACAACUUCUGGUUAGUCUCUGUGUAUUUCAGCUUAGAAUAUCUGUUUGCCUUAACUGCCUGUAUUAUUACAUGUUUUUUGUUUGCCUUAGCUUCAUUUUUGUCUUGGAUAGUGUAUACAUGUGUUUAGUAAAGAGGUUCUAUGCUAUAAUGUGUGCACAACAUGUUUUCCGAAACAAUAUUCGCGCUUUCAGAACAUGUAUGGUCUCCGAGGUCUCUGAUUUAUGUGGUUUCGAUAAAAGUCAUCUGUCUGGUUAAUUUGGAAUUUUUUUUGCUAAAUUAGUUUUUUCCAAUUGACUUGAACUAAUGCAAAUUAAUUGGUAUUACUUUUAGGGACAUUGAGUAACACAAAUGGUGGAGGCUCCUCUGUCACCAGCAGCAGUGCAGGCCAGCAAAGUCAGAGCCAGUUUUCCAUGGCAGCAAGUUGUGGGACUGGGACUUCUUCUAUGGGAGAGAUUUUGGCUACUCUAAACCUCAAGGUUUAUAGCUUUUCGGAUUUGAAGAAUGCCACUAAAAGUUUUAAAAAAGAUACUGUGUUAGGUGUGGGAGGUUUCGGGACAGUUUACAAGGGUUGGGUGGAUGAGAACACGCUUGAGCCCUGUAAGGCUGGCUCAGGGAUAAUGGUUGCUGUCAAGAAAUUGAACCAUGAAAGCGUGCAGGGAUUUCAAGAAUGGCAGGUAACAUUUGAUGACUAAUUAGAGUUCCCUCUAUGCUUGACAUGAGAAAUUUCUGAAUUAAUGUCUUCCUAGCCUUAGAUGAUGACAUAUUUUGCUUAUAAGUGUUUGGUUUCUUCUUCACUGAAAUGCAGCCAGAAGUAAAGUUUUUAGGAACUCUUUGUCAUCCCAACUUGGUCAAGUUAUUGGGAUACUGUGGGGAGGAUCAAGAGCUCGUACUCGUAUAUGAGUUUAUGCAGAAGGGAAGCUUGGAAAACCAUCUUUUUAGGAGUAAGAACUUGAAGUGAAAUUAAUAACAAGCAAGAAAUAAAAAUUUCUUUGAGUCUUCUUUGGUGAUAAAGUGUUCUAAUGAUGGAUUCUGUUGUUCAGGGAGUUCUGCUACUGAACUACUGUCAUGGGACAAACGGCUAAAAAUAGCCAUUGGAGCUGCACGGGGACUUGAAUUCUUGCAUAGUUCAGAAAAGAAAAUCAUUUACUGAGACUUUAAGGCCUCCAACAUACUGCUUGAUAUGGUGAGAUUCUAAACAAUCCAUUUCUCAGCAUUUGACAUAACAAAUUGGAUCAUGAGAAACCGAUAUUAGAGAAAGAGGGAGGGAAAAAGAAAAUAGCUACUAAAUAAGGAUUACAGUUGCUAUAAUUUAUUCUCUAAAUCUUUGCUUAUACCCAUGUUAAUUCAUCAAUUCAUAACAGUACGAGCUGCAAUCUUUAUCUGGAGAUUCAUAAAAUCUUCUCACCUUAUUUGUUGUGCUCUGACAAAAAUGCACUUGAUAUCUGGAGAUUUAGUCCCCC